AUGGAACAGCUCCGGUCCUGGGCUUCCUGCAGAGCUGGGUGGCCGGUGACCCCGAGCGCUUCGUCCCCACGAAAAAGUUCUGCCCCCGCAGUCCCAUUCCCAAACGGGAAAGCACUUUCGUGCUCGACUGACGCCAUGGCCGCGUUCUUCUUGGGUGCUCGGAACAGCGUGAUGAAGCUGUCGUCUGGGAUCCCGUGUCCGGGAGGCGGACCGAACUGCGAGAGUCUGACUACUUCUGCGCAGCCGCGAUGCUCUGCUCCGUGGACGGCUGCGACCAUGCAGCCUGCAACUCGGGCCCGUUUUCCGUGGCUUGUAUCGAGGAUGAGGGAUGUGUGGAUGAUGACGAACAUUCUCUCCUACGGGCGUCUGUGUACUCAUCAUACACCCAGAAGUGGACUUCUCCGGCCUGUAUUCACAUAG
RNAcentral lists this ribosomal RNA (420 nucleotides) under Triticum aestivum (bread wheat). RNAcentral's name for it is "partial small subunit ribosomal RNA". Lineage: Eukaryota; Viridiplantae; Streptophyta; Magnoliopsida; Poales; Poaceae. The record is from RNAcentral.